CAGUCUCAGUUCGGAUUGAAGGCUGAAAUUCGCCUUCAUGAAGCCGGAAUUGCUAGUAAUGGCAGGUCAGCAUACUGCCGUGAAUACGUUCCCGGGCCUUGUACACACCGCCCGUCACACCAUGGGAGCCGGAAAUGCCCGAAGCCUGUGACCCAACCCAAUAGGGAGGGAGCAGUCGAAGGUGGAGCCGGUAACUGGGGUGAAGUCGUAACAAGGUAAC
RNAcentral lists this ribosomal RNA (220 nucleotides) under uncultured bacterium. RNAcentral's name for it is "partial 16S ribosomal RNA". It matches the Rfam family "Bacterial small subunit ribosomal RNA", at positions 1283 to 1500 of the family's 1533-position model. The record is from RNAcentral.